This 484-nucleotide ribosomal RNA is filed under the name uncultured bacterium. Its description in RNAcentral is "partial 16S ribosomal RNA". It matches the Rfam family "Bacterial small subunit ribosomal RNA", at positions 30 to 507 of the family's 1533-position model. The record is from RNAcentral.
AUUGAACGCUAGCGGCAGGCCUAACACAUGCAAGUCGAGCGGAUGAAGGGAGCUUGCUCCUGGAUUCAGCGGCGGACGGGUGAGUAAUGCCUAGGAAUCUGCCUGGUAGUGGGGGAUAACGUCCGGAAACGGGCGCUAAUACCGCAUACGUCCUGAGGGAGAAAGUGGGGGAUCUUCGGACCUCACGCUAUCAGAUGAGCCUAGGUCGGAUUAGCUAGUUGGUGGGGUAAAGGCCUACCAAGGCGACGAUCCGUAACUGGUCUGAGAGGAUGAUCAGUCACACUGGAACUGAGACACGGUCCAGACUCCUACGGGAGGAAGCAGUGGGGAAUAUUGGACAAUGGGCGAAAGCCUGAUCCAGCCAUGCCGCGUGUGUGAAGAAGGUCUUCGGAUUGUAAAGCACUUUAAGUUGGGAGGAAGGGCAGUAAGUUAAUACCUUGCUGUUUUGACGUUACCAACAGAAUAAGCACCGGCUAACUUCGUG